AUCACUUCAAAUUGAUAGUUGUAACACUCACUGCACUUCUGAACAUGGCUCAAGAGCAGGUUCCAGUCAUGAUCACUGCUGCUGCAGGAAAUGAGGCUGAGUGGGAGCUGAUUCAAGCAAAAGAAGAUCAGCCAAAGUCGGAUUUCGUUGCUUCCAAGCUUCGGUGCGAUAGCUCCGACUCGGAUUCGAAGUCUGGUUCUGAUUUGAACUCGCAAUCAAAUAAGAAAAAAGAUUUGAAAGGCAAAUCAAAAGUGGAGGAUCUGAAAGAGAAAAUCAGAAAGAAGAUAAGUGCGAAAAAAGAGCAAAGAAGGAAGAAAACGCUCGAACGCAACAGCUCUAAAUCCGGUUUAGUUUCUGCUUCUGCCUCACCCCCUACGGUCGAUCCUGACUCGGCAAAGAAGAGGGGAAAGAAAGAGAUCGCAAAGAGUGCUCACAUGAAAGGACUUGACAAGCUGGAAUGUAAAAGCUCCGACUCAGAUUCAAACUCAAAGUCGGAUGAUGAUUCUAAAUCCGGUUCUGAUUCUGAUACGAAAUCUAAUCAUUCUGGGUUGAAAUCUGAUUCGGAAUCUAAGCCUACUCUGGUAAAAAAGAUAGGAAACAAAGCGAUUAUAAGGACUACUCAUGUAGAGGGACUAGAUAAGCUGAAAUGUAAAAAGUCCUCGGAUUCAAGCUCCAAGUCUGAUGAUUCUUCAAAAUCCGAUUCGGACUCAAAGUCAAGUGAUGACUCUCCUUCGUCUCCUUCUUCGAAAUCCGAUGACUCUCCUUCUUCUCCUUCUUCGAAAUCUGAUGACUCUCCUUCUUCUCCUUCUUCGAAAUCUGAUUCUGAUUCAGAUUCGAAAUCAUCAGAUUCGAAAUCAUCAGAUUCUGGUUUGAAAUCUAACUCAGAAUCUAAAUUGAUUGCGUAUACGAAAGAGAUGACGGGAACUGCUCAUAUAGAGGGACUUGACAAGCUCGAAUGUAAAAGCUCGGACUCGGAUUCAAACUCAAAGUCGGAUGAUGAUUCUAAAUCCGGUUCUGGUUCUGAUUCUGACGCGAAAUCUAAUGAUUCUGGUUUAAAAGCCGGUUCAAAAUCUAAAUCCAGCGCGAUACAGGCAAAGAAAAAGGGAAAGAAAGAGAUGACAGGAGCCGCGCAUAUAGAGGGACUUGACAAGCUCAAAUGUAAAAGCUCGGACUCAGAUUCGAGCUCAAAGUCGAACGAUUCUGAUUCUGAUGCAAAAUCUAAUGAUUCUGGUUUGAAAUCUGGCUCGAAAUCUAAAUCUAGCAUGGCAAAGAAAAAGGGAAAGAAAGUGAUGACAGGAACUGCUCAUAUUGAGGGACUUGACAAACUCAAAUGUAAAAGCUCGGACUCGGAUUCAAGCUCAAAGUCUGGCGAUGAUUCUUCUUCUAAAUCUAAUUCUGAUUCUGACGCAAAAUCUAACGAUUCUGGUUUGAAAUCUGGCUCAAAAUCUAAAUCCGGCGCGGUAAAAAAAAUACGAAAGAAAAAGAUCACAGGGGCUGCUCAUGUGGAGGGACUUGAUAAGCUGGAAUGUAAAAAGUCUGACUCAGAUUCAAAUUCAAAGUCGAGUGAUGAUUCUUCUUCCAAAUCUGAUUCCAAUUCAGAUUCUGAUAAGAAAUCUAAUCAUUCUGGUUUGAAAUCAGACUCGGAACCAAAAUCUAGUGAGGUAAUUAUAUUAUCUAAUUGAAAAAGCCCGGAUAUAAUAUAUAUCUGCUUACACUAGAUAGCUUGACAUAACAUUAUUAACUCUAUGAAAAAAAAAAAACAAAAGCUUGAUUCACUUAUCACUAUUUGUUACUCUUAAUACAUAAAAGUUCGUCCUAUAAAAAAAAAUCAAGUAAAAUUUUAUUAUGUCCAUAGUUUGUAUCUAUCUGCCUAAUAUUUCUAUAUCUGUCAUAGAUAUAGAAGGAUUUAUAACUGUAAAAUAACAAAAAGUAGUUCAAUACGCAAAUUUCUUUUUUUUCCUGCAAUCUAGUGACGGCAAAGACUCCAAAAUACAGGUAAAGAAAAUACGAAAGAAAAAGAUCACAAGGGCUGCUCAUGUGGAGGGACUUGAUAAGCUGGAAUGUAAAAAGUCUGACUCAGAUUCAAAUUCAAAGUCAAGCGAUGAUUCUUCUUCCAAAUCUGAUUCUGAUUCUGAUUCUGAUAAGAAAUCUAAUCAUUCUGGUUUGAAAUCAGACUCGGAACCAAAAUCCAAUGAGGUAAAGAAAAUACGAAAGAAAAAGAUCACAGGGGACGCUCAUGUGGAGGGACUUGAUAAGCUGGAAUGUAAAAAGUCUGACUCAGAUUCAAAUUCAAAAUCGAGCGAUGAUUCUUCUUCCAAAUCUGAUUCCGGUUCUGAUUCUGAUAAGAAAUCUAAUCAUUCUGGUUUGAAAUCCGACUCGGAAUCAAAAUCUAAUGAGGUAACGAAAAUACGAAAGAAAAAGAUCGUAGGGGCUGCUCAUGUGGAGGGACUUGUAAAGCUGGAAUG
This is an RNA transcript of Ananas comosus (pineapple), 2465 nucleotides long. It is a transcript of the gene named clumping factor A-like, with no coding region annotated. NCBI's taxonomy places the organism in Eukaryota, Viridiplantae, Streptophyta, Magnoliopsida, Poales, Bromeliaceae. The transcript is spliced from 10 exons. The record is from RefSeq and is a predicted model, not a curated record.